This is a long non-coding RNA of Sebastes umbrosus (honeycomb rockfish), 928 nucleotides long. RefSeq lists it as uncharacterized. NCBI's taxonomy places the organism in Eukaryota, Metazoa, Chordata, Actinopteri, Perciformes, Sebastidae. The record is from RefSeq and is a predicted model, not a curated record. The transcript is spliced from 2 exons.
UUUCAAGUGUCAGCGGAAACAGGUGCAGCCACUAGCAAAUGAGUUUUGGCCCCGAUGGAGAAACAAGUAUCUCCACACUCUUCAGCCAAGGUGCAAGUGGCACACAGCACGUCGGAACCUGGAGGUUGGAGACAUAGUGCUGCUAAAACAGAGUCAAGCGCCUCGCAACGAGUGCCCAAUGGGUCUUGUCACCUCCACUCUCCCGAGCAGUGAUGGACAGGUCCGCAAAAUCGAGGUCAGGACAACAUCGCGUGACAAACUAAAGACAUUCUUGAGGCCUAUCUCUGAUGUUGUCUUGCUCUUGCCAAAAGAAAGUCAAAGUUCAAGUACGGACAAUUGAGUGGCACCAGUAAAUGCCAGACGGGGAGUGUUCUGUCCUGAGUGCGUUUAAAAUGCUAAAAAGACCAAGUUGACUGUUAAAAAUGUGUUUGUAUUGUUAUUCUCAGAAAAGAUUGUUGAGCUUUAUUUUGAAGGCUGGAAAGAUAGUGUAAACAGGAAGCGGGUAACAGGAAGUAGGAAGUAUAGAGGAGACCUGAAAACAGAGAAAGAACAUGGUGCAGUUGUAUAGUUUCUCAUGUUGAAUCCAGUGUAAUCCUGUAUAUGAAUCCCUCAGAAAGCAAUGGCUUUGGAGAGGUACAAACCAAAGCUGCUUCACUGAGAACACAAUAUGGAAAACUGCUCUGUCCAAAAGCAAGUGGAAGUGGUGACAAAGAGCUUACACCCAGGCAGAAAUGGAUAUUAAAGAACUUGGAGUUUCUGCGAUCAUUUGUGGUCCACAGAAUUUCUCAGACCACCCUGAAUGUCAGUAGGCUGUUACAACAGCUUCUAUGUGGUUACAACCUAUGAAACAAUGAAUGUUAUAGCCUACUACAUACAAUAAAGCAAAACUGUCUUUUAAAACUCAAAAUGAUAAACUGAAACUGCUUCA